GCGAGUUAUAAUUAUAGUUAUAAUCCUGUGGCUGAGUACUUGCAGUUCAUCGAUAAUUCCCAAUUCGCUGUUGAUGGUUUGGUUACGGACUUCCCUCCUACAGCAUCAGAAGCUGUUGGUAAGGCCAUUAAUUCUCAUGUCAUCCCCCUGAGUUCACUAAAUGGCACUGAGCUAGAGCAUAUAAAACAUGUGUGUAUAUAUAUAUAUAUGCCUUUGAUUCUGAUAUGACCUCCAAAUGCUCUUUGAUUGUGCAGCAUGUUUUGCUCAACAGAACCCGAAGAAUCGCAAACAAGGUAAGCAUUUCCUGUUGAGGAGUAAAAAUUUUAAGCAGGACAAAUAGAAAGACAUAACCCUCAUGUUUUAUUCUCCAGGACAAGCUUUGAUCAUAACCCAUAAUGGAGCUAGUGGAGUUUACCCUGGCAGCACUGAUCUUGCAUAUCAACAAGCAGUGAACGAUGGAGCUGACAUAAUAGAUUGCUCAGUCCAGAUGUCAAAAG
Molecule: long non-coding RNA, 497 nt
Filed under: Carica papaya (papaya)
Lineage: Eukaryota; Viridiplantae; Streptophyta; Magnoliopsida; Brassicales; Caricaceae
Description: long non-coding RNA (CPAP_LNC008947)
Source: RNAcentral